GGGCGCGUAGCUCAGCGGGAGAGCACUCCCUUCACACGGAGGGGAUCACAGGUUCAAUCCCUGUCGCGCCCACCA
RNAcentral lists this transfer RNA (75 nucleotides) under Caulobacteraceae bacterium. RNAcentral's name for it is "tRNA-Val". It matches the Rfam family "tRNA". Rfam says of the family: Transfer RNA (tRNA) molecules are approximately 80 nucleotides in length. Their secondary structure includes four short double-helical elements and three loops (D, anti-codon, and T loops). The record is from RNAcentral. Lineage: Bacteria; Pseudomonadati; Pseudomonadota; Alphaproteobacteria; Caulobacterales; Caulobacteraceae.